This 373-nucleotide ribosomal RNA is filed under the name uncultured organism. Its description in RNAcentral is "partial 16S ribosomal RNA". It matches the Rfam family "Bacterial small subunit ribosomal RNA", at positions 527 to 896 of the family's 1533-position model. The record is from RNAcentral.
GUAGGUGGCAAGCGUUGUCCGGAAUUAUUGGGCGUAAAGCGCGCGCAGGCGGUCCUUUAAGUCUGAUGUGAAAGCCCACGGCUCAACCGUGGAGGGUCAUUGGAAACUGGGGACUUGAGUACAGAAGAGGAAAGCGGAAUUCCAAGUGUAGCGGUGAAAUGCGUAGAGAUUUGGAGGAACACCAGUGGCGAAGGCGGCUUUCUGGUCUGUAACUGACGCUGAGGCGCGAAAGCGUGGGGAGCAAACAGGGAUUAGAUACCCUGGUAGUCCACGCCGUAAACGAUGAGUGCUAAGUGUUAGGGGGGUUUCCCGCCCCUUAGUGCUGCAGCUAACGCAUUAAGCACUCCGCCUGGGGAGUACGGCCGCAAGGCUG